GCAUCUGUGCAUGCAGCAUAUCAAUAAGCGGAGGAAAAGAAACUAACAAGGAUUCCCUUAGUAACGGCGAGUGAAGCGGGAAGAGCUCAAAUUUGAAAUCUUCAAGGUUUUACCUUGACGAAUUGUAGUUUAAAGAAGUGUUUUCUGUUGAAGUUUUGGUAAAAGUUCUUUGGAAUAGGACAUCAUAGAGGGUGAGAAUCCCGUAUUUGACCAUUAUUUUCAGCUGUGUGAUACACUUUCAAAGAGUCGGAUUGUUUGGGAAUGCAGUCCAAAAUGGGUGGUAAAUUUCAUCUAAAGCUAAAUAUUGGCGAGAGACCGAUAGCGAACAAGUACCGUGAGGGAAAGAUGAAAAGAACUUUGAAAAGAGAGUUAAACAGUACGUGAAAUUGUCAAAAGGGAAGCGUUUGACACCAGUGUUGUUUUCUCGAAAAUCAAUUAAAAAGAGUUAGAUUUUGUUGUGUAUUGACCUUAACAGCUUGCAUUUCAAUUUUCUUGCUUUUUUUAAUGCACUUUUCGUUUAACAAGUCAACAUCAGUUUCUUUUGUUGUAAAAAGGUCAUUGGAAGGUGGCUUUCUUUUCGGAGAAAGUGUUUAUAGCCUUUGACUCCUGCAAUCGGAGAGACUGAGGUCUGCAGCGUAGAUCCUUCGGGGUUAGAUACAUUUGUGCUAAGUUAUAGCUUUUUAUAGACAACUUGUUGACUAUGAUUAGUCUUGUAGCUUACUCGCUUAUGCUAUUUUACCUACGCUUAGGAUGUUGAUGUGAUACUGCGAGCA
Molecule: ribosomal RNA, 773 nt
Filed under: uncultured Neocallimastigales
Lineage: Eukaryota; Fungi; Neocallimastigomycota; Neocallimastigomycetes; Neocallimastigales
Description: partial large subunit ribosomal RNA
Rfam family: Eukaryotic large subunit ribosomal RNA
Source: RNAcentral